UACGUAGGGGGCAAGCGUUGUCCGGAAUUAUUGGGCGUAAAGCGCGCGCAGGCGGUCGCUUAAGUCUGGUGUUUAAGCCCGAGGCUCAACCUCGGUUCGCAUCGGAAACUGGGCGGCUGGAGUGUAGGAGAGGAAAGUGGAAUUCCACGUGUAGCGGUGAAAUGCGUAGAGAUGUGGAGGAACACCAGUGGCGAAGGCGACUUUCUGGCCUAUAACUGACGCUGAGGCGCGAAAGCGUGGGGAGCAAACAGG
RNAcentral lists this ribosomal RNA (252 nucleotides) under uncultured bacterium. RNAcentral's name for it is "partial 16S ribosomal RNA". It matches the Rfam family "Bacterial small subunit ribosomal RNA", at positions 524 to 776 of the family's 1533-position model. The record is from RNAcentral.